GACGAACGCUGGCGGCGUGCCUAAUACAUGCAAGUCGAGCGCAGGAAACCGUCUGAACCCUUCGGGGGGACGACGGCGGAAUGAGCGGCGGACGGGUGAGUAACACGUAAAGAACCUGCCCACGGGUCUGGGAUAACCACGAGAAAUCGGGGCUAAUACCGGACGGGUCAUCGGACCGCAUGGUCCGAGGAUGAAAGGCGCUCCGGCGUCGCCCGUGGAUGGCUUUGCGGUGCAUUAGCUAGUUGGUGGGGUAACGGCCCACCAAGGCGACGAGGCAUAGCCGACCUGGGAGGGUGAUCGGCCACACUGGGACUGAGACACGGCCCAGACUCCUACGGGAGGCAGCAGUAGGGAAUCUUCCACAAUGGACGAAAGUCUGAUGGAGCAACGCCGCGUGAACGAUGAAGGCCCUCGGGUCGUAAAGUUCUGUUGUAAGGGAAGAACAAGUGCCGCAGGCAAUGGCGGCACCUUGACGGUACCUUGCGAGAAAGCCACGGCUAACUACGUGCCAGCCGCCGCUGUAA
This 524-nucleotide ribosomal RNA is filed under the name uncultured bacterium. Its description in RNAcentral is "partial 16S ribosomal RNA". It matches the Rfam family "Bacterial small subunit ribosomal RNA", at positions 28 to 523 of the family's 1533-position model. The record is from RNAcentral.